CCUACGGGUGGCAGCAGUGGGGAAUAUUGGACAAUGGGCGAAAGCCUGAUCCAGCCAUGCCGCGUGUGUGAAGAAGGCCUUCGGGUUGUAAAGCACUUUCAGUGGGGAAGAAAGCCUUGGGGCUAAUACCCUCGAGGAAGGACAUCACCCACAGAAGAAGCACCGGCUAACUCCGUGCCAGCAGCCGCGGUAAUACGGAGGGUGCGAGCGUUAAUCGGAAUUACUGGGCGUAAAGCGCGCGUAGGCGGUCUGAUAAGCCGGUUGUGAAAGCCCCGGGCUCAACCUGGGAACGGCAUCCGGAACUGUCAGGCUAGAGUGCAGGAGAGGAAGGUAGAAUUCCCGGUGUAGCGGUGAAAUGCGUAGAGAUCGGGAGGAAUACCAGUGGCGAAGGCGGCCUUCUGGACUGACACUGACGCUGAGGUGCGAAAGCGUGGGUAGCAAACAGGAUUAGACACCCUAGUAGUC
RNAcentral lists this ribosomal RNA (465 nucleotides) under Vreelandella stevensii. RNAcentral describes it as "partial 16S ribosomal RNA". It matches the Rfam family "Bacterial small subunit ribosomal RNA", at positions 338 to 795 of the family's 1533-position model. Lineage: Bacteria; Pseudomonadati; Pseudomonadota; Gammaproteobacteria; Oceanospirillales; Halomonadaceae. The record is from RNAcentral.